GCCGGCGACCGGCGCACGGGUGAGUAACGCGUAUGCAACUUGCCUAUCAGAGGGGGAUAACCCGGCGAAAGUCGGACUAAUACCGCAUGAAGCAGGGGCCCCGCAUGGGGGUAUUUGCUAAAGAUUCAUCGCUGAUAGAUAGGCAUGCGUUCCAUUAGGCAGUUGGCGGGGUAACGGCCCACCAAACCGACGAUGGAUAGGGGUUCUGAGAGGAAGGUCCCCCACAUUGGUACUGAGACACGGACCAAACUCCUACGGGAGGCAGCAGUGAGGAAUGUUGGUCAAUGGCCGAGAGGCUGAACCAGCCAAGUCGCGUGAGGGAUGAAGGUUCUAUGGAUCGUAAACCUCUUUUAUAAGGGAAUAAAGUGCGGGACGUGUCCCGUUUUGUAUGUACCUUAUGAAUAAGGAUCGGCUAACUCCGUGCCAGCAGCCGCGGUAAUACGGAGGAUCCGAGCGUUAUCCGGAUUUAUUGGGUUUAAAGGGUGCGUAGGCGGCCUUUUAAGUCAGCGGUGAAAGUCUGUGGCUCAACCAUAGAAUUGCCGUUGAAACUGGGGGGCUUGAGUAUGUUUGAGGCAGGCGGAAUGCGUGGUGUAGCGGUGAAAUGCUUAGAUAUCACGCAGAACCCCGAUUGCGAAGGCAGGCUGCCAAGCCAUGACUGACGCUGA
This 665-nucleotide ribosomal RNA is filed under the name uncultured Bacteroidales bacterium. Its description in RNAcentral is "bacterial SSU rRNA". It matches the Rfam family "Bacterial small subunit ribosomal RNA", at positions 87 to 749 of the family's 1533-position model. Lineage: Bacteria; Pseudomonadati; Bacteroidota; Bacteroidia; Bacteroidales. The record is from RNAcentral.